Neolamprologus brichardi is the source of this 840-nucleotide long non-coding RNA. RefSeq lists it as uncharacterized. NCBI's taxonomy places the organism in Eukaryota, Metazoa, Chordata, Actinopteri, Cichliformes, Cichlidae. The record is from RefSeq and is a predicted model, not a curated record.
GUAACCAAACCGGAAUGGCAAAUUUUCCCUCGUCACUUACCUUCCUUUUUUAGCUUAGGUUAAUGAUAGCUAGUUGCUAAGUUGCUACUGUCUUAACAGCUGUCAUUUAGCGUUAGUUUCGGACAACCCAAAGACUCGCUUUCUAUACUUGUUAGCCGAUUUGUUUCCCCAUAAAGAACGAUAAAUGGAAAACGCCGUUUUAAAAAAGUGAAUGCCGUCGGUAUGAGCUUUAAGAAAGGCUCUGUAACAUUACACUUGCUGGCUCGGCGGGCAAGGCCAGAUAUUCUGAAGCUAUCGUAGCGCUGGCUAGGAAGCCCGAGUUAGCUUGACAUCCUUCAGUCGUAGCUAGCUUGACUAUUUAAUUAAGAAUUAACGGACUGCUUCAGGUGUCCACAUCACUUACAGCCCCAGAUGCGGAUGUUGCACUGCUUUACUAGAGCAAGGAGUCUGAAGGGAGACGCUACAGUUUUUUGUAAGUGACAAUGUAGGAAUCCCGAGGGUGGAGCUGUGCUGCUGUAUGACGGGCCAGAACACCGGAGGGAAGGCGAGCUCAGUGGACAGCACUCCUACAACUGGCUGGUGAGGAGGAGGAGGAGGCGCCGGUGGGAUGCUCCUGUCACCGCAUGAUAAGGUGAUGUCCUGUUUGUCUCUAGCCUUGAUGUCCUCGUGUCCUGCUUUGCUGUGAUGUGGAGCUUCCUCCAGACUCUGGUCUCUGGACAGAGGGGAGCAUCGUUGACCUUUACGAAACUUUGCCCUCCUGUUCUUGAACCACACCUGGAUGAGGAAGACAGGACGACCGAUGCGCCACAAAUAAGUGAGGUGUUUUAACACUAUUAAAGC